CCUACGGGAGGCUGCAGUGAGGAAUAUUGGUCAAUGGGCGCGAGCCUGAACCAGCCAAGUCGCGUGAGGGAAGACGGUCCUAUGGAUUGUAAACCUCUUUUGUCGGGGAGCAAAAUACGCCACGCGUGGCUUUCCGUGAGUACCCGAAGAAAAAGCAUCGGCUAACUCCGUGCCAGCAGCCGCGGUAAUACGGAGGAUGCGAGCGUUAUCCGGAUUUAUUGGGUUUAAAGGGUGCGCAGGAGGAAUUUCAAGUCAGUUGUAAAAUUUUGAGGCUCAACCGUUACAUGGCAUUUGAUACUGGUUGCCUUGAGUAAAGUAGAGGUAGGCGGAAGGCGUGGGGUAGCGGUGAAAUGCAUAGAGAUCACGAAGAACUCCGAUUGCGAAGGAAGCCUACGAAACUGCCACUGACAUUGAUGCACGAAAGUGGGGGUAUCAAACAGGAUUAGAUACCUUGGUAGUC
RNAcentral lists this ribosomal RNA (460 nucleotides) under uncultured bacterium. RNAcentral's name for it is "partial 16S ribosomal RNA". It matches the Rfam family "Bacterial small subunit ribosomal RNA", at positions 338 to 795 of the family's 1533-position model. The record is from RNAcentral.